Molecule: long non-coding RNA, 1799 nt
Organism: Spinacia oleracea (spinach)
Lineage: Eukaryota; Viridiplantae; Streptophyta; Magnoliopsida; Caryophyllales; Amaranthaceae
Exons: 2
Source: RefSeq, a predicted model, not a curated record
UCAAAAUAUCCUAUUAUUUAUUUGUUAAAACGUCAAAACGUGGCAUACUAAAAUACUUGAAAGGGAAAGAUAAUUAUGUGAUUAAUAACGAGUAUAUUUGUUUGUGAUUAUGUAUUUGAUUGUGAUCUUCCUUUUUCCUUUUUUAUUUUUCCGGCUUUGAUUAAAUUUGAUUGAUCGUCCAUUGAUCGCUUUUCCUUUAAUUUGAUUUUAUUUUACAAUUAUGUUAAUAUAGCUUGUAAGUAAUAUGAGCAUUUUGGACUAUUCUAUAGAGGAUACCAAAAGCUCAUUUACGAUAAUGCUUUCAGGAGUUUCCUUAAGUAGAAACUAGUAUUUUAUGCACGCGAUGCGUGCGGAAUUUUAAAAAUAUUAGGCACUAAUAAUUAUUCGCAAAGUCCAUAUUUUGCGAUAUUGAGGUCAUACAAUACUCGUAGCCUUACAUGACGAAAAAUCGAAUCUUAUGACCAAUUAAAGUUAUUAAAAAAACUUAACAUUAUUUUGUUACAGCUAACAUAUCCCGUCGAGAAAUCAAAAUAGAAGUACUGAAGUAAAGUUAUUAAACAUAUGAAAUAGUAAGUAUCACUUUCUUAUCAAGUUAAAAAGAUAUAUAUUUCUAUUAUAUAUUCUCAUAUGAUACGAUGUGGAAGAAUCGAGUACAUUAAAAUACUUUGUAGUCUGUACUACAUAAUACGCCAAUUAUAAAAUUAGUUAAAUCUAUAUUAUUAUACACCAAAAAUACUUAUAGACGUUAUAAUCAGAUAAUAAAGAGAAUAUAAUUUAUUAAUUAAUUUAUCAAGUGAGGUCGAAAAGUUGAGAAUAGUAUUGCUAUUAAAAUCUGAAAAUAAUACAUGUGUAUCAUUUUUCGUUCUCAAAGCCCAAAUAAUCAGUCGGCCCAUUUCGUUUCAAAGCACAGCUCCUCCUAUCUCUCUAUAAAAGUAACAGGUUAUUCCUUACCCUAUUUCUUUUUGUUGAAUUCGCCGUUGUAUUCUCUCUCUUAAACAUAUUUGGGUUUCUUUCUCAUCUCUCCUUUCUCUCUCCUAAUUCGUUGCAUAAAAUCCUUCGUUUCUCUUCUCAAAAAAUGGUUUCAACUAUUUGAAUAUCUUAGCAAAAAAGGGCGAAAACCUUCAGAAAAAUGAACAUCAGGAAGAUCUUUCGCAGGUAUAUUCCCUUCUCUUCGUCUUAAAUUAGCCUUAUUUGCACUUGAUUAAGAAUUUUAGGGAUUUAUCAAUUCAUGUUUUACGGUUUAUAAUCGGAAUUGAAUUUAGUUAAUGCAGAAUAUUUGUUGCAUAAUUUUAGUUGUAAUUCGUUGUCUUAGUUAUUUGUCAACUAAUUUAUUUGCACUUUUGAUUUGCAUGUUGUGUCCCUCCAUGGGUUGGAGAGAGAGGUCCAAGAGCGGUGGUGAGGCGCGCGAGGGGCUGUUCGAGGGGCGCGAGGCGCUGGCCUAAGCUCUAUCCGAGGCGAUUUGCGAGGCGAUAGAAAAUUUUGUAAAGGCAUCUGAAAGCUUGGAGCUUGUAAGAUUCCAUAAAGGCGGUGAUUUGGACCCACCUAACAAUUUAACUUUGUCAAUGAUUUCAUCAAUCUCCUCGGAUCCUUUCUUAACCAUACGGCUUAUGAUAUCACUACUACAAUGCACAUGAAACAAUUGACCAGUCAUUGGGAGCUUCGACCGUUCUUGAACAAUUUCCUUCUGGUAAUUGAUAAAAGUAGGGUUUCAAAAUAUGUAAUUUAUACCCUUAUAUUUGGUGAUUACUGGGUUGAUGUUGAAUUUUUUUCUGGUAUUAAUUUCCGUGUUCAAUUUCUAA